Haliotis rubra (blacklip abalone) is the source of this 993-nucleotide long non-coding RNA. RefSeq lists it as uncharacterized. The record is from RefSeq and is a predicted model, not a curated record. The transcript has 2 exons. NCBI's taxonomy places the organism in Eukaryota, Metazoa, Mollusca, Gastropoda, Lepetellida, Haliotidae.
AUGUACAUUGAUCAUGUUGAGGGUAACCAUAUGUACAUUUGAUCAUGUUGAGGGUAACCAUAUGUACAUUUGAUCGCGUUGAAGGUAACCAUAUGUGCAUUUGAUCAUUUAAGAUAUGAAAUGCAUGAACAUUUAAUCAUCUGGGCUGCUUUACACUACAAUGUCAUCCUAGCACUACGACCCCCGGAAGUCCACGUCAUGGGAUGGGAGUUAAUCCUAGAGCUAAGAUGGCUUUGUGCAAGCCGACCCAGGACGUAAAAUGAAUUUACAUUUGAUCAUUUUGAUGCCAAAUCCAUUUAUAUUUCAUUGUGUUGAUGGUCAUUGAAUUUACAUUUGAUCGUGCUGUUCCUGGUCUUGAAUGACAGUAAUAUUUUUAAUGUGGCUAAGUUAGUGAUACUUGCAUCUUAUAUGCAUCUUUAUAUUGUCAAUACUUUCUUUAAAAAUACAUCAACAAAAGGAAGCGACGCUGAAGCUCCUGAACAUCCACACUAGAGUUAUUUUGCUGUGUGAUGAUGUUAUCCCAGCAUUCAUCUACAUCCAUUUUGCCCCUACCAGCAGCAGUUUUAACUGGAUUGUAUAUGUUGAUAGGAUUGUCAGGAAUGUUCCAGUGGAUUGUAUAUGUUGAUAGGAUUGUCAGGAAUGUUCUAGUGGAUUGUAUAUGUUGAUAGGAUUGUCAGGAAUGUUCUAGUGGAUUGUAUAUGUUGAAAGGAUUGUCAGGAAUGUUCUAGUGGAUUGUAUAUGUUGAAAGGAUUGUCAGGAAUGUUCCAGUGGAUUGUAUACGUUGAAAGGAUUGUCAGGAAUGUUCCAGUAUAUUGUAUAUGUUGAUAGGAUUGAAAGGAAUGUCCCAGUGGAUUGUACAUGUUGAUAGGAUUGUCAGGAAUGUUCCAGUGGAUUGUAUAUGUUGAUAGGAUUGAAAGGAAUGUCCCAGUGGAUUGUAUAUGUUGAUAGGAUUGUCAAGAAUGUUCCAGUGGAUUGUAUAUGUUGAAAGGAUUG